AUGCUGGAAUUUUUCCAGAAGAAGCUGAACCAAGUUGACAACAGAGCUAGGUUCCUCUCUGGUGUUCUGAGUGGUGAUAUCAAGAUCAUUCCCAGGAAGCAAAAGGAUCUGCUACAAGAGAUUGCUGAAAAGGGAUUUGAUACCCUCCCAAAGGAAGUUCUGCCCGCUGCCGUAGGAGCAACAAUAUACAGGGAAGAAAAUGGAAGAAGCCCUGAUGUACAUGCCAGUGAUUAUGAUUAUCUCACCUCCAUGACAAUUUCUGCCUUAAAUGAGGGGUACCUGGAGCAUCUUCUAGAACUAAAGAAGAGGUUUGAAACUAAAGUUGGACUCCUGAGAAGAGCUACACCGGAAUGUCUGAAAUCUGCAAAGAAACGAACUAUAACUCUUGAUAUACAGUUGCUUGAUGCAAACUAUAUAAAAGCUCAAUCAGAUAGAAAGGUUGUGAUAGUCAUUGAUUGCAAACGUUGCAAACACAACAAUGCAUUUGAAGCAGCCCCCAGGACACAUCAUAAAAGGACUGCAGCCGAGUAUCUUGAGGCAAGUGUGGUGCUGAUGGAUGAUGAUGAGGACCAUCUUGCUGGAAGUCUCGAGGCCCAAGAAUUUAGUGACUGA
Molecule: ribosomal RNA, 612 nt
Filed under: Triticum aestivum (bread wheat)
Lineage: Eukaryota; Viridiplantae; Streptophyta; Magnoliopsida; Poales; Poaceae
Description: partial small subunit ribosomal RNA
Source: RNAcentral